RNAcentral lists this ribosomal RNA (254 nucleotides) under uncultured bacterium. RNAcentral's name for it is "partial 16S ribosomal RNA". It matches the Rfam family "Bacterial small subunit ribosomal RNA", at positions 524 to 776 of the family's 1533-position model. The record is from RNAcentral.
CACGUAGGGGGCAAGCGUUGUCCGGAUUUAUUGGGCGUAAAGAGCUCGUAGGCGGUUUCGUAAGUCGGGUGUGAAAACUCUAGGCUCAACCUAGAGACGCCACCCGAUACUGCGAUGACUAGGGUCCGGUAGGGGAGUGUGGAAUUCCUGGUGUAGCGGUGAAAUGCGCAGAUAUCAGGAGGAACACCAAUUGCGAAGGCAGCUCGCUGGGACGUUACUGACGCUGAGACGCGAAAGCGUGGGGAGCAAACAGG